RNAcentral lists this ribosomal RNA (385 nucleotides) under uncultured bacterium. RNAcentral's name for it is "bacterial SSU rRNA". It matches the Rfam family "Bacterial small subunit ribosomal RNA", at positions 370 to 772 of the family's 1533-position model. The record is from RNAcentral.
AAUGGGGGAAACCCUGAUGCAGCGACGCCGCGUGAGUGAAGAAGUAUUUCGGUAUGUAAAGCUCUAUCAGCAGGGACGAUAAUGACGGUACCUGACUAAGAAGCCCCGGCUAACUACGUGCCAGCAGCCGCGGUAAUACGUAGGGGGCAAGCGUUAUCCGGAUUUACUGGGUGUAAAGGGAGCGUAGACGGUGUGGUAAGUCAGGUGUGAAAGCCCGGGGCUCAACCCCGGGAUUGCACUUGAAACUAUCAUGCUAGAGUGCAGGAGAGGUAAGUGGAAUUCCUAGUGUAGCGGUGAAAUGCGUAGAUAUUAGGAGGAACACCAGUGGCGAAGGCGGCUUACUGGACUGUAACUGACGUUGAGGCUCGAAAGCGUGGGGAGCAAA